AGUCGAGCGAGAAAGCCCGCAAGGGUGAGUAAAGCGGCGCACGGGUGCGUAACACGUGGGUAAUCUGCCCUGGAGUCUGGAAUAACUCGCCGAAAGGCGUGCUAAUGCCGGAUAAGACCACGGGAGCUUCGGCUCCUGCGGGAAAAGGUGGCCUCUGUACACAAGCUAUCACUUCAGGAUGAGCCCGCGGCCCAUCAGCUCGUUGGCGGGGUAAUGGCCCACCAAGGCUACGACGGGUAGCUGGUCUGAGAGGACGAUCAGCCACACUGGAACUGAGACACGGUCCAGACUCCUACGGGAGGCAGCAGUGGGGAAUCUUGCGCAAUGGGCGAAAGCCUGACGCAGCAACGCCGCGUGUGUGAUGAAGGUCUUCGGAUCGUAAAGCACUGUCGCGAGGGACGAAUAAGGGGCGGGCUAACAUCCCGUUCCGAUGACGGUACCUCGAGAGGAAGCACCGGCUAACUCUGUGCCAGCAGCCGCGGUAAUACAGAGGGUGCAAGCGUUGUUCGGAAUUAUUGGGCGUAAAGCGCGUGUAGGCGGCUUUGUAAGUUGGGUGUGAAAGCCCUCGGCUUAACCGAGGAAGUGCGCCCAAAACUGCAUGGCUUGAGUACCGGAGAGGGUGGCGGAAUUCCCGGUGUAGAGGUGAAAUUCGUAGAUAUCGGGAGGAACACCAGCGGCGAAGGCGGCCACCUGGACGGAUACUGACGCUGAGACGCGAAAGCGUGUGGAGCAAACAGGAUUAGAUACCCUGGUAGUCCACGCCGUAAACGAUGAGCGCUAGGUGUUGUGGGUGUUGACCCCUGCAGUGCCGCAGCUAACGCAUUAAGCGCUCCGCCUGGGAAGUACGGGCCGCAGGCUAAAACUCAAAG
RNAcentral lists this ribosomal RNA (869 nucleotides) under uncultured bacterium. Its description in RNAcentral is "bacterial SSU rRNA". It matches the Rfam family "Bacterial small subunit ribosomal RNA", at positions 60 to 906 of the family's 1533-position model. The record is from RNAcentral.